AUGUCAUCUGUGAUAGGCCGCCCAGUCAGGCCCCUCACUCUCCUUGGCUGCACCGCCACCGGGCUCUCCGUCCGCGUCCCGCUCGCGCACAUCGCGGACCCGCAGCAGCUGCAGCUCUCGCGGCUGAAGGGGCUCAGCCUGGGCUACAAGGAGAACACGCCGCCGGCCCUGAGCGGGACCCGCGUCCUGGCCAGCAAGACCGCGAGGAGGAUCUUCCAGGAGCCCGCGGAGCGGAAAACUACAGCAGCCGCCCCCGGCAUGGAGGAUGAGCCGCUGCUGAGACAAAACCCCUGCCGUUUUUGUCAUCUUCCCCACCGAGUACCAUGAUAUCUGGCAGAUGUAUAAGAAGGCGGAAGCUUCCUUCUGGACCGCGGAGGAGGUGGACCUGUCCAAGGACAUUUGGCACUGGGAAUCCCUGAAGCCCGAGGAGAGAGAUUUUAUAUCCCAUGUUCUGGUUUUCUUUGUAGCAAGUGAUGGCAUAGUAAAUGCAAACUUGGUGGAGCGAUGUAGCCAAGAAGUUCAGGUGACAGAAGCCCGCUGUUUCUGUGGCUUCCAAAUUGCCAUGGAAAACAUACAUUCUGGAAUGUAUAGUUUCCUUAUUGACACUUACAUAAAAGAUCCCAAAGUAAGGGAAUUUCGCUUCAAUGCCAUUGAAACGAUGCCUUGUGUCAAGAAGGCGGCAGAUUGGGCCUUGCACUGGAUUGGGGACAAAGCAGCUACCUAUGGGGAACGUGUUGUAGUCUUUGCUGCAGCGGAAGGCAUCUUUUCUGGUUAUUUUGCAUCGAUAUUCUGGCUCAAGAAACGAGGACUGAUGCCUGGCCUCACCUUUUCCAAUGAACUUAUUAGUGGAGAUGAGGGUUUACACUGUGAUUUUGCUUGCCUGAUGUUCAAUCACCUGGCACACAAACCACUGGAGGAGAGAAUAAGAGGAAGAAUUAUCAAUGCUGUUCGGAUAGAACAGGAAUUCCUCACUGAGGCCUUGCCUGUGAAGCUCAUUGGGAUGAAUUGCACUCUAAUGAAGCAAUACAUUGAGUCUGUGGCAGACAGACAUGCCGGAACUGGGUUUUAGCAAGGUUUUCAGAGUAGAGAACCCAUUUGACUUUAUGGAGAAUAUUUCACUGAAAGACGAACUUCUUUGAGAAGAGAGUAAAGGAGUAUCAGAGGAUGGGAGUGGUGUCGAGUCCAACAGAGAAUUCUUUUACCUUGGAUGCUGACUUCUAAAUGAACUGAAGAUGUGCCCUUAUUUUGCUGAUUUUUUUCCCCCAUCUCAUAAAAAAAUCAGCUGAAGUGUUAUCAACUAGCCACACCAUGAAUUGUCCAUCAUGUUCAUUAACAGCAUCUUUAAAACUGUGUAGCUACCUCACAGUCCUGUUUAUUUAUAAUGCUGGUAGUAUCACCUUUUGCCAGCAGGCCUGGCUGGCUGUGACUUACCAUAGCAGUGACAAUGGCACUCUUGGCUUUAAAGUGAGGGGUGACCCUCUAGUGAGCUUGGCACAGCAGGAUUAAACAAUCAUUUAACCAGCACAGGCAGUUGAAAGAUGCAGCCUCCCUGCUUCAACACAGAUUUUAAUGUUUACUUAAAUAUAAAACUGGCCCUUUACAAACAAAUAAACAUUGUUUGUACUCACAAGGCGAUAAUAGCUUGAUUUAUUUGGUUUCGACACCAAAUACAAAGCAUUCUCCUGACCACUAAUGGGAGCCAAUUCACAAUUCACUAAGUGACUAAAGUAAGUUAAACUUGUGUAGACUAAGCAUGUAAUUUCUAAGUUUUAUUUUAGUGAAUUAAAAUACUUGUUAACCA
RNA transcript from Cercocebus atys (sooty mangabey), 1801 nucleotides. It is a transcript of the gene named ribonucleoside-diphosphate reductase subunit M2 pseudogene, with no coding region annotated. The record is from RefSeq and is a predicted model, not a curated record. NCBI's taxonomy places the organism in Eukaryota, Metazoa, Chordata, Mammalia, Primates, Cercopithecidae. The transcript has 2 exons.